AAAUGGUGCCCUAGUGACUACAA
RNAcentral lists this microRNA (23 nucleotides) under Echinops telfairi (small Madagascar hedgehog). Its description in RNAcentral is "Ete-Mir-224_3p* (star (passenger))". RNAcentral also lists the same sequence under 11 other names. Lineage: Eukaryota; Metazoa; Chordata; Mammalia; Afrosoricida; Tenrecidae. The record is from RNAcentral.